AUAACGACUCUCGGCAACGGAUAUCUCGGCACUCCAUCGAUGAAGAACGUAGCGAAAUGCGAUACUUGGUGUGAAUUGCAGAAUCCCGUGAACCAUCGAGUCUUUGAACGCAGGUUGCGCCCUAAGCCUUCUGGCCGAGGGCACGUCUGCCUGGGUGUCACAAA
RNAcentral lists this ribosomal RNA (164 nucleotides) under Draba aizoides. RNAcentral describes it as "5.8S ribosomal RNA". It matches the Rfam family "5.8S ribosomal RNA". From Rfam's summary of the family: 5.8S ribosomal RNA (5.8S rRNA) is a component of the large subunit of the eukaryotic ribosome. It is transcribed by RNA polymerase I as part of the 45S precursor that also contains 18S and 28S rRNA. Lineage: Eukaryota; Viridiplantae; Streptophyta; Magnoliopsida; Brassicales; Brassicaceae. The record is from RNAcentral.